CUGCCAUAACAAGUCAGAGCUAACAAAUGAGUUAGCAAGCUAGUGCUGACUAGCCAAACUAGUGGCAAAUAUAAUAUGUCUAACUAAAUUCUCAGCUAGAGCUAGUCAGCUAACUACUCGCCUUAUAAUUAGGAUUGGUAGAUGUCCGGUUUUCAACAGGAAUGGCCAGUUUUUAAACUAUUUGUGCAGGUCCGGUUUGUGAUACUAACAGGACAAUAUAAUGUCCGAGAAAUUAGCGCUUUUUCCAGAUUUACAAUUCGCUAGAAAUUCAUGUGCAUUAGAAAGUUACUGCAACAAGACUGGUGUUAAAUAAACGUAGAAAUAAAUGUAACAUGCUAUAUUUAAUUGCUCACUAAGGGGGAAUCCACCGAUUCGAAGGUAGAUGAUGGAAAAAUGUUGAAGAGAUAUAAGAAUAUCACACUUGCUCAGAACCCACACCACAGAGUUCAAGUGUAGCUGGCCAGUUUACGUAGUGCAAUCGCUAUGCGCUUUUAUACCCACACUUUUUUGGCUUGCGAUUUACUAUUAGUUUCUUCAUAGUUUCCCCCGGGAUCCGGAAGUGGAUGUGAAGUGCUGUCUGACAUCUUCUCACCACACACUGGAACGGUAGCACGGCCAGGGAGGGGCCCCCUCAGCACCUUUUCAUUAAUAUGCAGUACCUUCUACAUACCCUUGUCCUCAGAUGACUUCUUUUCCAAUUUUUAAAGAGGCAAGUGACCACCUCCACAAUUCCCCCACAGAGCUGCAGUUGAACAAUUAUCGAUUCCCAGGAGAGAGGUUUCCCCAGAAUCGACGUCAAAGGAUUCCUACCCACGCUUUGGAAUUAGGAACAUCUCAUUUUCAUCCUCCCUCAUGCACACACACACUCUCUUAUUAAACGAUAUGAGCUUGAGGCACCUUUCUCUCCUCUUUAACUCUUCAGGGCACUCAUGAAUCCCUCCUGCACUGAGCAAGUAACUCAAAGAGGCAGUGUUCCCUCUUGGUAAAGUCGUGGGCUGCCCUGAAAAAUGAGAUUCAGGCCUACCAGCCAGACGUGGGCGUCCGGAGUUCCUUUCUCUAUGACUAAGACUAAAUGUGGAUGGAUGGUGAGAUAAGGGGCUGUGGCAGUUUUUAUGUGACGAACGUUUGUCAGAAAGAGGGGACGCAGGGUACAUUUUAUCGUUUAGGAUAAAGGAAGAUUGAUAUUUUUUCAUUGAACCUUCUUGCUGUUUAUAUAUUUUUUUAAAGUAACACAGUACAACAGAACUACAAAAAACAUAAAAAUAUAGAAUAACUUGUGCAUUUGCAGCUGCAUGCAGUAAGUAACUCCUGAGCUGAACACCUGCAUUUUGAAGGGAAUACUGAUAUACUAUGAUUUCCUGACAAACCCAUCCUCUGUGUAUGACUAGAAAACAGGCAUUGAUAAACUGGGCUCUACUUUCACACAUGGUGUGUUGUGAACCGCACUGGCGAAAUGGUAUUUUCUUCACAGAUAAAUACGUGCCAGAGCUGUUUGGUAAUUCCCUGACUUGCCAUGUGCAAAAGUGGAAGGAGAGUCGCUGCUGGGGGUGUGUCAGUCAAGAUCGAGAAGUGGACUGAAAUUCUGGUGCAUCUCAUUGCAAUUUUUUGGUCCGUCUGGUGUGUGCUUUGCGCCAUCGCCUCCCACUGUCUACGGCCAUCCUUUUACUGGAUUGCAAAUUUCCCAUGCAAUUCAAGCAUUAUCAUAGCCUAUUGAAAAGCCAAUAAACUGUUUUCGUGGAUCAUA
This is a long non-coding RNA of Anguilla anguilla (European eel), 1744 nucleotides long. RefSeq lists it as uncharacterized. Lineage: Eukaryota; Metazoa; Chordata; Actinopteri; Anguilliformes; Anguillidae. The transcript is spliced from 4 exons. The record is from RefSeq and is a predicted model, not a curated record.